Molecule: ribosomal RNA, 200 nt
Filed under: uncultured bacterium
Lineage: Bacteria
Description: partial 16S ribosomal RNA
Rfam family: Bacterial small subunit ribosomal RNA
Source: RNAcentral
AGAGUUUGAUCCUGGCUCAGAACGAACGUUAGCGGCGCGCUUAACACAUGCAAGUCGCACGAGAAAGGGCUUCGGCCCCGGUACAGUGGCGCACGGGUGAGUAACACGUGGGUAAUGUUCCCUCGGGCGGGGGAUAACCUUCCGAAAGGAGGGCUAAUACCGCAUAAGACCACGUCUUCGUAGGAGGACGAGGUAAAAGC